CCAUACCACCCUGAAUGCUCUCAAUCUUUUCUGAUUUUGAAAGCUAAGCAGGGUCAGGCCUGGUUAGUAGUUGGAUGGAAGAAGAAACCAGGGAG
Molecule: ribosomal RNA, 95 nt
Filed under: Castor canadensis (American beaver)
Lineage: Eukaryota; Metazoa; Chordata; Mammalia; Rodentia; Castoridae
Source: RNAcentral